Molecule: ribosomal RNA, 464 nt
Filed under: uncultured bacterium
Lineage: Bacteria
Description: bacterial SSU rRNA
Rfam family: Bacterial small subunit ribosomal RNA
Source: RNAcentral
CCAGGAAAAGGGUUCAUCAGGGAAAGAGGGCGUAGAAUAAGCACCGGCUAACUACGUGCCAGCAGCCGCGGUAAUACGUAGGGUGCAAGCGUUAAUCGGAAUUACUGGGCGUAAAGCGUGCGCAGGCGGUUAUGUAAGACAGAGGUGAAAUCCCCGGGCUCAACCUGGGAACUGCCUUUGUGACUGCAUAGCUAGAGUACGGUAGAGGGGGAUGGAAUUCCGCGUGUAGCAGUGAAAUGCGUAGAUAUGCGGAGGAACACCGAUGGCGAAGGCAAUCCCCUGGACCUGUACUGACGCUCAUGCACGAAAGCGUGGGGAGCAAACAGGAUUAGAUACCCUGGUAGUCCACGCCCUAAACGAUGUCAACUGGUUGUUGGGUCUUAACUGACUCACUAACGAAGCUAACGCGUGAAGUUGACCGCCUGGGGAGUACGUCCGCAAGGUUGACACUCAAAUGAAUUGAC